GCUACAGGCUUAACACAUGCAAGUCGACGGGUAGCAUUUCAGUUUGCUUGCAAACUGGAGAUGGCGACCGGCGCACGGGUGAGUAACACGUAUCCAACCUGCCGAUAACUCGGGGAUAGCCUUUCGAAAGAAAGAUUAAUACCCGAUGGUAUAAUCAGACCGCAUGGUCUUGUUAUUAAAGAAUUUCGGUUAUCGAUGGGGAUGCGUUCCAUUAGGCAGUUGGUGAGGUAACGGCUCACCAAACCUUCGAUGGAUAGGGGUUCUGAGAGGAAGGUCCCCCACAUUGGAACUGAGACACGGUCCAAACUCCUACGGGAGGCAGCAGUGAGGAAUAUUGGUCAAUGGGCGCAGGCCUGAACCAGCCAAGUAGCGUGAAGGAUGACUGCCCUAUGGGUUGUAAACUUCUUUUAUAUGGGAAUAAAGUUUUCCACGUGUGGAAUUUUGUAUGUACCAUAUGAAUAAGGAUCGGCUAACUCCGUGCCAGCAGCCGCGGUAAUACGGAGGAUCCGAGCGUUAUCCGGAUUUAUUGGGUUUAAAGGGAGCGUAGGUGGACAGUUAAGUCAGUUGUGAAAGUUUGCGGCUCAACCGUAAAAUUGCAGUUGAUACUGGCUGUCUUGAGUACAGUAGAGGUGGGCGGAAUUCGUGGUGUAGCGGUGAAAUGCUUAGAUAUCACGAAGAACUCCGAUUGCGAAGGCAGCUCACUGGACUGCAACUGACACUGAUGCUCGAAAGUGUGGGUAUCAAACAGGAUUAGAUACCCUGGUAGUCCACACAGUAAACGAUGAAUACUCGCUGUUUGCGAUAUACAGUAAGCGGCCAAGCGAAAGCAUUAAGUAUUCCACCUGGGGAGUACGCCGGCAACGGUGAAACUCAAAGGAAUUGACGGGGGCCCGCACAAGCGGAGGAACAUGUGGUUUAAUUCGAUGAUACGCGAGGAACCUUACCCGGGCUUAAAUUGCAUUUGAAUAUAUUGGAAACAGUAUAGCCGUAAGGCAAAUGUGAAGGUGCUGCAUGGUUGUCGUCAGCUCGUGCCGUGAGGUGUCGGCUUAAGUGCCAUAACGAGCGCAACCCUUAUCUUUAGUUACUAACAGGUCAUGCUGAGGACUCUAGAGAGACUGCCGUCGCAAGAUGUGAGGAAGGUGGGGAUGACGUCAAAUCAGCACGGCCCUUACGUCCGGGGCUACACACGUGUUACAAUGGGGGGUACAGAAGGCAGCUACCUGGUGACAGGAUGCUAAUCCCAAAAGCCUCUCUCAGUUCGGAUCGAAGUCUGCAACCCGACUUCGUGAAGCUGGAUUCGCUAGUAAUCGCGCAUCAGCCAUGGCGCGGUGAAUACGUUCCCGGGCCUUGUACACACCGCCCGUCAAGCCAUGAAAGCCGGGGGUACCUAAAGUACGUAACCGCGAGGAGCGUCCUAGGGUAAAA
RNAcentral lists this ribosomal RNA (1425 nucleotides) under uncultured organism. RNAcentral's name for it is "SSU rRNA". It matches the Rfam family "Bacterial small subunit ribosomal RNA". The record is from RNAcentral.